This 253-nucleotide ribosomal RNA is filed under the name uncultured bacterium. RNAcentral's name for it is "partial 16S ribosomal RNA". It matches the Rfam family "Bacterial small subunit ribosomal RNA", at positions 524 to 776 of the family's 1533-position model. The record is from RNAcentral.
UACGUAGGUGGCAAGCGUUGUCCGGAUUUACUGGGCGUAAAGAGCGCUCAGGCGGUCGUUCAAGUCGCGUGUGAAAGCCCCCGGCUCAACUGGGGAGGGUCACGCGAUACUGAUCGACUCGAAGGCAGGAGAGGGUAGUGGAAUUCCCGGUGUAGUGGUGAAAUGCGUAGAUAUCGGGAGGAACACCAGUGGCGAAGGCGACUACCUGGCCUGUUCUUGACGCUGAGGCGCGAAAGCUAGGGGAGCAAACGGG